This is a long non-coding RNA of Loxodonta africana (African savanna elephant), 3842 nucleotides long. RefSeq lists it as uncharacterized. The record is from RefSeq and is a predicted model, not a curated record. NCBI's taxonomy places the organism in Eukaryota, Metazoa, Chordata, Mammalia, Proboscidea, Elephantidae. The transcript has 4 exons.
ACACCCUCGGGUAAGAACGCUUCUUCUCCUGCAUGGUGAUGUCUGAUGUCUGAUGGGUGGUGGCAUACCAUGCAUCUGUUUCAUUUUAGCAGACAGCGGCCUAUCAGCGCAGGUGCCCACGGUGGGAGCUACCCUGUAGGCUGGACGACCUCCAGGACAGGGUCCCCUUCUACCUGUGCAAGUGUGGGGACUUCGCGGGCGCAGCCUACUUGCUGCUGUCUCCUGUCAACAUGCUGACCUGCUGCACUGCCUGCUGGCUCACACCUGCACACUUCGAAAGCUACCUGAAGGUGCUCUGGACGGGCAGUGUCCCUGUGGGCAAUGAUGUCCAGGACACUGGCCACUGGACGGUCGGCGUGGGUGAGGAGCUGGGGUGCUGGGCUCACCCCAGAGGGCAGGCUAUGUCUGUCCUCCCGCUUCCCACCAGCCCACAUUCAGGGCUCUACCACUACCUGCAUGGACAGGGUGCCCAGCCUGGGCUCUGGCUAGCUGGGGGUCAGAUGAGGGACCAUGCAGGUGCUCAGCUGAUGGAGUCAUGGCUCUGUGUACCUGUGGGGUUUGUGGGUGUGGCCCCUCCUGUAUCAGAGCCCAUCCAUCCCCAGGUGCGCCAGUGAAGCCCUGGGUCCUCAUGAAGCAGGCCCUGCGAAUGCUGUUUGGGAACGAGGCCUCAUACCAGAAUGUGACUGCCGAGUGGGGAGGAGGUGCAGGCCCUGUGUAAGGAAUAUGAGUGUGUGGGUGGGCAGGCAGGGCCAUAUGCUGAGCUGCCAUGUCACAGGCCGGUUGCUGGAGCACCCUCCUCUCCCUCUGGGGCAACAGCCCCAUCCUGGAGUCACUGACGCUGCAGGCAUCAUUAUCCUCAUUCCAGAAGGUAACCACAAGUGCGCCUGCACGCAUGGGGUCCGCCCCACUCUGCUCCCAGCCCACCUGCCCCUCACAGCUUUCCUUCUGCCUCUGGGCUCCCAGCAGGCAUGGCAUCGGUGCCGCCUUCCUGAACUGUCCAGCAGCCCUGCGCUCGUCUCACUCAGGGAGAGCCCAUUAGGGCCCAGGGGUGCCCUUUGCCUGCUUUUAUAACCCCUCAGGCUGCCCCUCAGGGCUUCCCAGCCCUCUCGUGGUCGACUUUCAGCCAAACCACCAGGCAGCUCAGGGUUUUAUUCGGGAAAUGGCCCUAUCUGCACGGUCCCCUCCCUCACACCCAGCCUGACCAUGGCACUGCCAGCCCUCUUCCAAGACACUGGUCAGCCCACCUCCCUUGGGGUCCUGGUCCCUGCAAGCCACAGCAGCUGACCAUCUGCAUGGCUGCCCACCUCAGAUGGUAUCUAUGACCACCCAGCACCCAGCCCACCCCUCCUGGCCGCGCCCCCUACUCUUGGGGCUGAUGGCACACUCCUUGCAGAAGGUGCUGCGCGCCUCCGAUGCCAUCCUGCAGGAGCUGAGGCAGCACGGGCAUGCCACCCUGCCUGCUGACCUCUUCCUCAGCCCAGUGAGUCAGUGGAGCUGAGGCAGGCAGGGCCAGCUGUCUCCAUGUGAGCUGCCGGGUCGAGUUCAUCUCCCCAAGCAGUUCCCUCCGCUCCUGUCUCCUUUACCGGCUCAGCUUGCUCGUUUUUCUCUGGCUCAGUCCCUGCUUGCUCUGACAAAGUUGGGUCAGGCCUCACUCCCUUAUGUCCCCUUUCCCCACAGAUGCUGCUCUGGGCUUGUGCACAGGGAGGGUGAUGGCCCCCAUGUCUCACCACCUGCCCAUCUGCCCAAGCUGGGCCUCGAGGCCUGCCUCCUGCUGUGCACCCAGGCUGCACACCAGAAGCUGGUCACCGAAUUCCCUUGGCCAAACUCACUGCUGGACAUCAUCCUUGCCUUCAGGGUAAGAAAAACCUCUGGGCACUGAAGGUGAUUCUGGAAGGCGUGUACAAGACCUCUGCCGUCUACAAGGUGGGACCUGAGCUACCAGAAAUACACGCUGCUACGGCUGUGAGUGAGCCUGCGGCCUACGCCAUUGUAGAGGGUGUGUGUGUUGGUGUAGGCCCUUGUGUGCGUGUAAGAGUGUGGUUUGUGUGUGUGUGUGUACACAUGCUAGUGCAUGGGCAUGUAUGUGUUGGUAUGAGUGCUGGUAUGUGUGGGCUAUAAGUGUGAGUGUGUCUGGGGGUGGCUGGUGAGAAUGUAAAGGCUCUGGCCAGUUGGUGUCCAUGGCGGUCCUGGGCACCCUUGAGCCAUGCUGUUCUGUUAGUGGAGGAGCCCAGGCCAGCAUGUGUUGAGCUGGCCAUACCCACAGGUGGCAGAUCCUGGGCCCUGAUUACAUGGGAGAGCUGCUGUGCCUGCUCAUGGGCUUCCAGAGCGUCGACCUCCAGACCAUUGGCGUCCUCCUGACCCACGUCGUGGUGGAGAAGCUCAGCCAGUGUACUUGGGCCAAGUCACUGGACCUUCACCGUCUCAAGGCCUUCCAGACACUGCAUUUGGACCCCACCAAAAGCUAAAUGCCUUUGUGUCAACCUUGGAAUACUUGUAACAGUUGCCAUUGAUGCUUGUGGAGAAGAGGGGUUUUGGUGAACAUGUUGUCUGGGCUCUGUGCCCUGCAGGUUUUUUUUGUCUGUUACUUCCCCUUCACGAUGUUGGCUGCUGAUUGUUUCCUGGUCUCCAGAGAGCAGAGUGGCCGGUGGGGUGGGGUGAGGCGCCGUGUUGGCACCAGGCACCAGCAGGUGCGCACAAGCAGGUUUUGUCUGAAGGCACAAUGUCAGUGGGCCUGUCCUUUGGUGCAGGGACACCACCUACCACCCCCAUCCCUCUGUGGCACCACGUCCGGAGGUGGGAUGCGGGCUUUGUACAUUCUUAUUGGCAGUUCAGCUGUGCUCUGCCGGGGCCCUGGGUGGGUGCAGUUUGGGCAGCUGGGGGGCAUCAAGGGGCCGCUUUCAGAGACCUGGGAUGGCCACUCAGUUGUCACUAGGGUACGUGUCUUUCUCACGAGAGAUGCAGCGGGAGCCUACACUCCUCAUCACCCUGAAGUUGUUUGUUGUAUUUUUUGCACACGUAAGUCUAAGACUUGAAUUAUUUUUGAAAAUUACUUUCAAACUUCCAGAGAUUACACAAGAGAACUGAUUUUUUAUCAGCCUGUUUAACUUGGUGAAAUAUAAGUUUUCUUUGGUAUUUUUCCAGUCCUCACAGCUGGUUUAUUUGCGGAGGGGGACAGAGCUGGUGCAUCCCCUUGGGCAUGAUUGGCAAACCUGGGCUGCAGUUGUUGCUGGGCACUCUGUGAGGAGGGGAGGGACACUCCUCCCUCCCCACCAGCUGUGUCUCCUUGAGGCGGCUGUGGCCUUGGGGGGCACACCAGCCCAGUGCUGGGUGCCUCAGAGGCACCACCAUGUAGCAAGGGCCCUGGUUUCUGUGGAGGAUGGCUGGGCAGGAGGGGGGCUGUGCCCCUACAGAGCCACCACAGAGCAAGCCUGGCCCUGUGCCAUCUCCCCAGCCAUGGAGAUCCACAGAUACACGGGCCCCACAAUGAGGCAGGAACACAGGUGCCAGGGUCUAGCUCUUGGGGUGCCCUCUGCAGGAGAUUGUGUCGCAGAGGCCACCCUCAUCCUCUGCAGCAUCUGGGGGCUCUGGUGUGCACACUUACUCAGGGUACCCUUCUAAUGAUCUCCUGAAGGGUCAGAGCACCGGCCUCCCCGGCAGGGGUUCAGCCAGGGCAUGGAGGGGCUGCAGCAAGCGUGAGGUGUCUGCAGCCUGUCCGCCACCCACCGCACCAGGCCCACUGGCAAUGGCCGUCCAGUGAGUCUGGCACACAGGACUGGGCACCCACUUCUGGGCCACAGAAGAAACAAUGUGUCCUCACCCGGCGACCCAGUUAGUGGAGCUAA